GAUGAACGCUGGCGGCGCUGCCUAAUGCUUGCCUGUCAAGCGAACAGACUAGGAGCUUACUCCUCUGACGUUAGCAGCGGACGGGUGAGUGACACCUGGAUAACCGACCUAGAAUACUGGCAUAACUUCGGGAAACCGGAGCUAGUACCGUAUAACAUGUGGAACCGCCUGGUUCAACAGGGAAAGACGGUCUUGCUGUCUCUUAUACAUGGAUCCGCGUCGCAUUAGCUAGUUGGUAAGGGAGCGGCUUACCAAGGCGGCGAUGCGUAUCCGAGCUGACAGGGUGAUCGGCCACUCUGGAACUGACACACGGUCCAAACUCCUACGGGAGGUGGCCCUACGGAAUCUUCCGCCCUGGGAGAGAGCCAGACUGACCCUCGCCGCGUGAGUGAAUAACGUCAUCUGAUCGGGAAACUCUGGUAGUAUGGAAGAACAACUGUGGCACCAACUAUGGACGUCUUGACCGUACCUACUCUUAAAGCCACGGCUAGCUACCUGCCUCCACCCGCGGUAAGACUUAUGUGGCAAGCGCUAUCCUGAAGUAUUGGACGCUCCGCGCGCGUAGGCGGUUUUUUAAGUCUGAUGUGAAAGCCCACGGCUCAACCGUGGAGGGUCAUUGGAAACCGAAAAACUUGAGUGCAGAAGAGGAAAGUGGAAUUCCAUGUGUAGCGGUGAAAUGCGCAGAGAUAUGGAGGAACACCAGUGGCGAAGGCGACUUUCUGGUCUGUAACUGACGCUGAUGUGCGAAAGCGUGGGGAUCAAACAGGAUUAGAUACCCUGGUAGUCCACGCCGUAAACGAUGAGUGCUAAGUGUUAGGGGGUUUCCGCCCCUUAGUGCUGCAGCUAACGCAUUAAGCACUCCGCCUGGGGAGUACGGCCGCAAGGCUUAAACUCAAAGGAAUUGACGGGGACCCGCACAAGCGGUGGAGCAUGUGGUUUAAUUCGAAGCAACGCGAAGAACCUUACCAAAUCUUGACAUCCUUUGACCGCUCUAGAGAUAGAGUCUUCCCCUUCGGGGGACAAAGUGACAGGUGGUGCAUGGUUGUCGUCAGCUCGUGUCGUGAGAUGUUGGGUUAAGUCCCGCAACGAGCGCAACCCUUAAGCUUAGUUGCCAUCAUUCAGUUGGGCACUCUAAGUUGACUGCCGGUGACAAACCGGAGGAAGGUGGGGAUGACGUCAAAUCAUCAUGCCCCUUAUGAUUUGGGCUACACACGUGCUACAAUGGACAAUACAAAGGGCAGCGAAACCGCGAGGUCAAGCAAAUCCCAUAAAGUUGUUCUCAGUUCGGAUUGUAGUCUGCAACUCGACUACAUGAAGCUGGAAUCGCUAGUAAUCGUAGAUCAGCAUGCUACGGUGAAUACGUUCCCGGGUCU
Molecule: ribosomal RNA, 1373 nt
Filed under: uncultured bacterium
Lineage: Bacteria
Description: bacterial SSU rRNA
Rfam family: Bacterial small subunit ribosomal RNA
Source: RNAcentral